This 468-nucleotide ribosomal RNA is filed under the name uncultured bacterium. RNAcentral describes it as "partial 16S ribosomal RNA". It matches the Rfam family "Bacterial small subunit ribosomal RNA", at positions 28 to 507 of the family's 1533-position model. The record is from RNAcentral.
GACGAACGCUGGCGGCGUGCUUAACACAUGCAAGUCGAACGGAAAGGCCCUGCUUUGGUGGGGUGCUCGAGUGGCGAACGGGUGAGUAACACGUGAGUAACCUGCCCUUGACUUUGGGAUAACUUCAGGAAACUGGGGCUAAUACCGGAUAGGAGCUCCUGCUGCAUGGUGGGGGUUGGAAAGUUUCGGCGGUUGGGGAUGGACUCGCGGCUUAUCAGCUUGGUGGUGGGGUAGUGGCUUACCAAGGCUUUGAGGGGUAGCCGGCCUGAGAGGGUGACCGGCCACAUUGGGACUGAGGUACGGCCCAGACUCCUACGGGAGGCAGCAGUGGGGAAUAUUGCACAAUGGGCGGAAGCCUGAUGCAGCAACGCCGCGUGCGGGAUGACGGCCUUCGGGUUGUAAACCGCUUUCGCCUGUGACGAAGCGUGAGUGACGGUAAUGUGUAAAGAAGCACCGGCUAACUACGUG